AUUGAACGCUGGCGGCAUGCCUUACACAUGCAAGUCGAACGGUAACAGGUCUUCUGAUGCUGACGAGUGGCGCACGGGUGAGUAAUACAUCGGAACGUGCCUCUUAUUGGGGGAUAACUACUCGAAAGAGUGGCUAAUACCGCAUGAGAUCUACGGAUGAAAGCAGGGGAUCGCAAGACCUUGUGCUACUAGAGCGGCCGAUGGCAGAUUAUGUAGUUGGUGGGAUAAAAGCUUACCAAGCCGCCGAUCUGUAGCUGGUCUGAGAGGACGAGCAGCCAAACGGGAAUGGAGAAAGGGCCAAGACGCCUAGGGGAGGCAGAAGGGGGGAAUUUGGGACAAGGGGCGCAAGCUUGAUCCAGCAAGGCGGCGGGGAGGAUGAAGGCCUUCGGGUUGUAAACUGCUUUUGUACGGAACGAAAAGCCUUGGGUUAAUACCCUGGGGUCAGGACGGUACCGUAAGAAUAAGCACCGGCUAACUACGU
RNAcentral lists this ribosomal RNA (481 nucleotides) under uncultured bacterium. RNAcentral's name for it is "partial 16S ribosomal RNA". It matches the Rfam family "Bacterial small subunit ribosomal RNA", at positions 30 to 506 of the family's 1533-position model. The record is from RNAcentral.